This 252-nucleotide ribosomal RNA is filed under the name uncultured bacterium. RNAcentral describes it as "partial 16S ribosomal RNA". It matches the Rfam family "Bacterial small subunit ribosomal RNA", at positions 525 to 776 of the family's 1533-position model. The record is from RNAcentral.
ACGGAGGGUGCAAGCGUUAUCCGGAAUCACUGGGUUUAAAGGGUGCGUAGGCGGUUAAAUAAGUCAGAGGUGAAAGGUUGUCGCUUAACGAUAAAAUUGCCUUUGAUACUGUUUGACUAGAAUUGGUAUGAGGUAGGCGGAAUGCGACAUGUAGCGGUGAAAUGCAUAGAUAUGUCGUAGAACACCAAUUGCGAAGGCAGCUUACUAGUACUUGAUUGACGCUGAGGCACGAAAGCGUGGGGAGCGAACAGG